ACGUUAAUCGGGGCAGGGUGAGUCGACCCCUAAGGCGAGGCCGAAAGGCGUAGUCGAUGGGAAACGGGUUAAUAUUCCCGUACUUGGUGUUACUGCGAAGGGGGGACGGAGAAGGCUAUGUUGGCCGGGCGACGGUUGUCCCGGUUUAAGCGUGUAGGUGUGUGUUCCAGGUAAAUCCGGUUCACUUUAACACUGAGGCGUGACGACGAGGCACUACGGUGCUGAAGCAACAAAUGCCCUGCUUCCAGGAAAAGCCUCUAAGCAUCAGGUAACAUCAAAUCGUACCCCAAACCGACACAGGUGGUCAGGUAGAGAAUACCAAGGCGCUUGAGAGAACUCGGGUGAAGGAACUAGGCAAAAUGGUGCCGUAACU
This 373-nucleotide ribosomal RNA is filed under the name Salmonella enterica. Its description in RNAcentral is "partial 23S ribosomal RNA". It matches the Rfam family "Bacterial large subunit ribosomal RNA", at positions 1362 to 1735 of the family's 2925-position model. The record is from RNAcentral. Lineage: Bacteria; Pseudomonadati; Pseudomonadota; Gammaproteobacteria; Enterobacterales; Enterobacteriaceae.